AAACGUCUUCAGGGCGGGGUGCGAUUCCCCACCGGCGGUAGGUGCGCAAGCACGAGCCCGCGAGCGCUUCCCGGCCCCCGGGAAGGUCAGCAGAUCCGGUCCAAUGCCGGAGCCGACGGUAUAGUCCGGAUGAAAGAAGACGGUG
Molecule: non-coding RNA, 145 nt
Filed under: Stenotrophomonas sp.
Lineage: Bacteria; Pseudomonadati; Pseudomonadota; Gammaproteobacteria; Lysobacterales; Lysobacteraceae
Description: FMN sequence
Rfam family: FMN riboswitch aptamer (RFN element)
About the family: The RFN element is a highly conserved domain that is found frequently in the 5'-untranslated regions of prokaryotic mRNAs that encode for flavin mononucleotide (FMN) biosynthesis and transport proteins. This element is a metabolite-dependent riboswitch that directly binds FMN in the absence of proteins.
Source: RNAcentral